CAACUCUCAACAACGGAUAUCUUGGCUCCCGCAACGAUGAAGAACGCAGCGAAAUGCGAUACGUAGUGUGAAUUGCAGAAUUCCGUGAACCAUCGAAUCUUUGAACGCAAAUUGCGCUCGAGGCCUCGGCCAAGAGCACGUCUGCCUCAGCGUC
Molecule: ribosomal RNA, 154 nt
Filed under: Trebouxia galapagensis
Lineage: Eukaryota; Viridiplantae; Chlorophyta; Trebouxiophyceae; Trebouxiales; Trebouxiaceae
Description: 5.8S ribosomal RNA
Rfam family: 5.8S ribosomal RNA
About the family: 5.8S ribosomal RNA (5.8S rRNA) is a component of the large subunit of the eukaryotic ribosome.
Source: RNAcentral